GAACAAGCGGAGGAGGAGCGGCCCGUCCUCUGCAGCCAGGCGGGGCCGCGCUACCGGUGGCGCUUGGAGAUUAUACCACUUCCCAAAUCAAGAAUGAGCCGAGCCAAACCAAACCGAGCAGGGUAUCUGAGCUCCACCGAGGGGAAGCCAAAUCCAAGCAAACUAGAAGAACCCAGAGCCAUAUUCAAGCUCCCCCAAUCUCGAGGAACUCAGUGGAGUUGCGGGUCCCGUAAAUCCUAGCUGCAGC
Molecule: long non-coding RNA, 247 nt
Organism: Mauremys reevesii (Reeves's turtle)
Lineage: Eukaryota; Metazoa; Chordata; Testudines; Geoemydidae
Exons: 3
Source: RefSeq, a predicted model, not a curated record